Molecule: ribosomal RNA, 492 nt
Filed under: uncultured bacterium
Lineage: Bacteria
Description: partial 16S ribosomal RNA
Rfam family: Bacterial small subunit ribosomal RNA
Source: RNAcentral
AGUGAACGCUGGCGGUAGGCCUAACACAUGCAAGUCGAACGGCAGCACAGUAAGAGCUUGCUCUUACGGGUGGCGAGUGGCGGACGGGUGAGGAAUACAUCGGAAUCUACUUUUUCGUGGGGGAUAACGUAGGGAAACUUACGCUAAUACCGCAUACGACCUACGGGCGAAAGCAGGGGAUCUUCGGACCUUGCGCGAUUGAAUGAGCCGAUGUCGGAUUAGCUAGUUGGCGGGGUAAAGGCCCACCAAGGCGACGAUCCGUAGCUGGUCUGAGAGGAUGAUCAGCCACACUGGAACUGAGACACGGUCCAGACUCCUACGGGAGGCAGCAGUGGGGAAUAUUGGACAAUGGGCGCAAGCCUGAUCCAGCCAUACCGCGUGGGUGAAGAGGGCCUUCGGGUUGUAAAGCCCUUUUGUUGGGAAAGAAAAGCAGCAGGUUAAUACCCCGCUGUUCUGACGGUACCCAAAGAAUAAGCACCGGCUAACUUCGUG